Long non-coding RNA from Gasterosteus aculeatus aculeatus (three-spined stickleback), 598 nucleotides. NCBI's taxonomy places the organism in Eukaryota, Metazoa, Chordata, Actinopteri, Perciformes, Gasterosteidae. The record is from Ensembl.
GUCUCGGCACUCCGUCUCCAUGGCGACGGGUUAGUGAUUAAACGUCCACUUUGUCACGCGGGAGCGACGUAAUGCAUCAACACAGCCUGAAACGCACAAAGAAGAAUGGACACUUCAUUUAAUGGCGAUGUGUCUCCAGCCGUCCCCCUCCUCUGCUCGUCUGAAUGAAGACUUCCUCCAACACGCCGACCGUCGCUCUGCUAUUCUUAUCUCGCCGAGUGACAACAGAAGAAACUUUAAAUUGGGCCUCAAAGAAGCGACUGCCGAGGAGAGAAACGUCCGGAAGCUGAUUCCAGCUCACGGAACAGAAGCGUCGCGUGCAAAGGAUUGUGGGUAUUUUUGGAGGAUUAACGCGUCCUUUAAUAUCUUCCAAUUGAAGGAUUCAGCUCUCAGAAUAAUUCUGAGGAUCCUUUUUUAUAUUUCUGAGAGGACAGAUUUAGUACAUACUUAUUAUUAUAAGUAUUAGUAUUAUUUUACACAAAGAAAGUAUAACUACUAUCAUUAUUUUGGUGGAUUGAACUGGUCUGACGGGCUUUGAUUCACGUCCCGUUCACGUCUGAGAAAGACUAACAAAUAAAAAACAAAUUUCCGAAUCCAA